GCCGAGAUCGCAUAACUUGGUAUUGCACUAGCCUUGAGAGCUAGGCCUUUCGGGGCUUCUGGGUUCGAAUCCCAGUCUCGGCG
RNAcentral lists this transfer RNA (83 nucleotides) under Candidatus Woesearchaeota archaeon. Its description in RNAcentral is "tRNA-Ser". It matches the Rfam family "tRNA". From Rfam's summary of the family: Transfer RNA (tRNA) molecules are approximately 80 nucleotides in length. Their secondary structure includes four short double-helical elements and three loops (D, anti-codon, and T loops). The record is from RNAcentral. Lineage: Archaea; Nanobdellati; Candidatus Woesearchaeota.